UACGUAGGGGGCGAGCGUUGUCCGGAAUCAUUGGGCGUAAAGCGCGUGUAGGCGGCCCGGUAAGUCCGCUGUGAAAGUCCAGGGCUCAACCCUGGGAUGCCGGUGGAUACUGUCGGGCUCGAGUCCGGAAGAGGCGAGUGGAAUUCCUGGUGUAGCGGUGAAAUGCGCAGAUAUCAGGAGGAACACCGAUGGCGAAGGCAGCUCGCUGGGACGGUACUGACGCUGAGGCGCGAAAGCGUGGGAAGCAAACAGG
This 253-nucleotide ribosomal RNA is filed under the name uncultured bacterium. RNAcentral describes it as "partial 16S ribosomal RNA". It matches the Rfam family "Bacterial small subunit ribosomal RNA", at positions 524 to 776 of the family's 1533-position model. The record is from RNAcentral.